This 654-nucleotide ribosomal RNA is filed under the name Vibrio parahaemolyticus. Its description in RNAcentral is "bacterial SSU rRNA". It matches the Rfam family "Bacterial small subunit ribosomal RNA", at positions 133 to 782 of the family's 1533-position model. The record is from RNAcentral. Lineage: Bacteria; Pseudomonadati; Pseudomonadota; Gammaproteobacteria; Vibrionales; Vibrionaceae.
GAUGUGGGGGAUAACCAUUGGAAACGAUGGCUAAUACCGCAUGAUGCCUACGGGCCAAAGAGGGGGACCUUCGGGCCUCUCGCGUCAGGAUAUGCCUAGGUGGGAUUAGCUAGUUGGUGAGGUAAGGGCUCACCAAGGCGACGAUCCCUAGCUGGUCUGAGAGGAUGAUCAGCCACACUGGAACUGAGACACGGUCCAGACUCCUACGGGAGGCAGCAGUGGGGAAUAUUGCACAAUGGGCGCAAGCCUGAUGCAGCCAUGCCGCGUGUGUGAAGAAGGCCUUCGGGUUGUAAAGCACUUUCAGUCGUGAGGAAGGUGGUAGUGUUAAUAGCACUAUCAUUUGACGUUAGCGACAGAAGAAGCACCGGCUAACUCCGUGCCAGCAGCCGCGGUAAUACGGAGGGUGCGAGCGUUAAUCGGAAUUACUGGGCGUAAAGCGCAUGCAGGUGGUUUGUUAAGUCAGAUGUGAAAGCCCGGGGCUCAACCUCGGAAUUGCAUUUGAAACUGGCAGACUAGAGUACUGUAGAGGGGGGUAGAAUUUCAGGUGUAGCGGUGAAAUGCGUAGAGAUCUGAAGGAAUACCGGUGGCGAAGGCGGCCCCCUGGACAGAUACUGACACUCAGAUGCGAAAGCGUGGGGAGCAAACAGGAUUAGA